CAUCGUUUUUUGUUUAAUUAUUUAAAAUAUAGCCUGCCCUAUGAAAAUUUAAAUGGCUGCGGUAUUUUGACCGUACAAAGGUAGCAUAAUAAUUAGUUUCUUAAUUAGGAACUGGAAUGAAUGGCUGGACGAGAAAAUUUCUGUCUCUAUUUAAUUGAUUAUAAUUUAAUUUUUAAGUUAAAAAGCUUAAAUUUUUUUAAAAGACGAGAAGACCCUAUAGAGUUUUAUAAUAAUUAAAUUAUAUUAAUUUAAGAAUUUAAUUUUUUUAGUUUUAUGAUUAUUUUAUUGGGGUGAUAAAAAGAUUUAAUUAACUCUUUUUUAUUUUUAUUAUUAAUUUAUAUAUUAAUGAUCCUUUUUUUAAGAUUAUAAGAAUAAAUUACCUUAGGGAUAACAGCGUAAUCUUUUUGGAGAGUUCUUAUCGAUAAAAGGGAUUGCGACCUCGAUGUUGGAUUAAAAUUAAUUAUUGGUGUAGGAGCUAAUAAAUUAAGUCUGUUCGACUUUUAAAAUUUUACAUGAUCUGAGU
Molecule: ribosomal RNA, 523 nt
Filed under: Ptilodactylidae sp. UPOL RK0152
Lineage: Eukaryota; Metazoa; Arthropoda; Insecta; Coleoptera; Ptilodactylidae
Description: partial 16S ribosomal RNA
Rfam family: Bacterial large subunit ribosomal RNA (bases 387-523)
Source: RNAcentral